RNAcentral lists this small RNA (329 nucleotides) under Histoplasma capsulatum. RNAcentral describes it as "hypothetical RNA". Lineage: Eukaryota; Fungi; Ascomycota; Eurotiomycetes; Onygenales; Ajellomycetaceae. RNAcentral also lists the same sequence under 1 other name. The record is from RNAcentral.
AUUGACUGAGUUGGUUAGAGGAUGGUUCUCGAUAACGUCGCGAUCUUCUUGUGAAAGUCCUGCCAUUUUGAUGGUAUAAAAGACUGUUGAGUUGGUGCAGGUAAACUGCGAGUUGUAAAGGGAGAAAAGUUCAGUUGGUAUGCUAAUUUUACAUGAUGAAUGGGAAGCAAACACGGAACAAAAAUGCAGAAAUGUUAGGAAGUUAUGAUGUAUGAUACUUGCAAGAGAAGAUAGCUCGCUGGGAACGGAUGCUGGUAUAUAUAAUCAAAGGAAGGGAGGAUUAUGGUCAAAUGGUUGAUCCGACUUGGCUUUGAUGCAGAACGCGAAUU